This is a long non-coding RNA of Bombus pyrosoma, 3760 nucleotides long. RefSeq lists it as uncharacterized. NCBI's taxonomy places the organism in Eukaryota, Metazoa, Arthropoda, Insecta, Hymenoptera, Apidae. The transcript has 5 exons. The record is from RefSeq and is a predicted model, not a curated record.
CGCGAUUCACGUUCGUCCUUAUCUUGCGAAGUCACACGCUACUCACUCUGCCUUUUUCUCGCUUUGCGCGCAAUUUCUAGCGAGCCAACCAGCCGCGGGCCAGCAGCCGAACCAGUGCGAAAGCCGGUAACCGGCACAACGCGCCAUACCAAAGCGAUCAGCCGAUUGGCUGGCCGCCCGCGACUCGACCAAUCGCAAUGCGUCUUCGGUCGUCAGGUGGUGCCGCGUUCUCGCAGACACGAACGCCUGCUACAUCGGAAAAAGUUGGUUCCUGGCAGUUUUGACGACAUUACGGAUUUUAAGGAUAAAAAGUUUAUAUCUAUUAUAUUGUCUCUUGUGACUAAAUCAAUUGAUCUUUCUUAUUGAGGUCUGCACGUAAAAAUUCCAAACAAGAUGUGUAGGUCAAUAAAAAGCAAAGUGGCAGAGACAUGAAAUAACAGUUCUUAGAAGAAAAUUUUCCUGAAACCGUAAAUCAUCUACGUUUAGCUCCAACUCAAGCAAGUGCGCAUAAAUGGACCGUCAUACAUCGAAUUUUCCAUAUACAUACAUACUGUACAACACAUUUCAAACUAUGAAAAUACAUUAUGGCUGCCAACCAUUGUCAGUUCAUGAAAAUCAUCUGUGGAGUUUCUAUCGAAUUGUUGUUCUGCUAAAUGGACGCAUUUACACCUCUUCGAACACAAUAUGUACGAAGAUUGCUCGAAAUUAUCGCCGGUGUAGAUAUAUCAACCUAACCCAACGAUCUUAAAGAACGACGUCUGCUACAAGUGCUUCGUGCAGUCAUACAAGCCGUACAACUUCGAUUUUUAAACCUGGUAUUUUAAGUUAUACGUAGUAUUUUACAUUCUAAAGCACAGGUAAUGAAGAAUUCAUAAUUUGUACUAAAUAUUAGCAUGGGAUUCUUGCACGAUAAUGUAACAAUUAAUAAUAUUAAUAAGUCUACACACUAUGAGUCGUAGACAUAGAGGUCAGAAAAAUCAACAAAAAAAGAUAUAUCAUAUUUCUUUUCGUUUAUUAAUUUUAUGGUUUAUUUAUUGAUACCAGGUAUCUGUUGACGUGUAAAAAUGUCAUUAACAGCAAUAGUUUAAUUGUGCAAGACGACCCUGGAAAAAAACUUUGCUACAUUCUCAUUAACCAAAAAUCAACUAACAAUACCAACCCACGAAACACAAAUUACAGAGACGAGUCAUCUCGAGAGCCAUUAUUCGUAAUGUCACGGUGCAAAGCAAAGGAGCAAGAUGGGACGGGACGGCAGCGACAUGGAGAAAAGCCAGCCGAGGACGAGGAUCACGCGCGUUGAGUACGUGCCUUGCAUCCGGAGGCGCGUUGCGUUCCGUUCGCCAUUGCCUGAUUAACUCGACGUCAUUUAUCAGAUUAAAUGGAUAAUGCUGGUUAGCGUCUGACGUAACGCCGCACUCCCAAGAACCGCCGUUUCUCAAAGAUUUUUUAUUAUCUUACUGGUCUGCCUAUGGACACACCAACGUUACGCAAUCGAACAAGCCUCUGAAAUUGGAUGCGAACAAUCGGCCGUGUUAACGAGUUCAUUGUGUUUCUGUCCAAAACGCGAUACUAGCCGGGUGGCCCUGCUGUUAUGUAACCCAGCUAUAGCUAUCUAUCGAGUUUAAUAAACGAAGGAAAAAAAUGAAAUUUAGGAUAAAGAUGUAUGGAAAUUAUUUCUGGUGAGAAUAAUGACUUUGUAUGUGAAAUGUUUAGUUAUUUAGUAAAUUAGUAAUGACCUCAUUGCCAGUGUAAAUAAAUGAAAUGUAAAUUUGUUUCAUUCUCUAAAUAUUACAACUAGUACUUGUGGAGAUUUUGUAUAUUUCUGCAUUUUAUAUGUAUCCUGUACAUUUAAGUAGAGUAAUUAGUAAUUACAUUUCAGUAACUCGAAUACAUUUUUAUGAAGAUUUGAAGAUGCCGUAACAUGUGAAGUAGUAAUUCAUUUUUUAUUAUGAAUCAGUAAUAAAUUGUCAACUGUAACUUAAAUUUAUUUUUAUGGAGAUUGCAGAAAUUGUAUCGCAAAGUAAUAAAUUCCGUUUUUUACUAGGGAUUUCUUAGAAACACGCUAUAAAAUUUUAUGACACCAUCGUCAUUGUAGAUAUUGAACACUUGUAAUUGUUUGCACAUCAGGCAAAAUUGAGUAUAAUACAGUGCUAAAGCGAAGCAUGAUAAACUCUCACAUGGCAUAUCCAAAAGGUCGGCUUCAACGACGAAAUCACAGUCAUCUCGCUGCGAACGCACAGUUUAACCGGUAAUUAGAGUUUACGGCAGCCACGUUGAUUAGGUCGUUAAAGAAACUAUUACGCCGACUAAAUACAGUCUAGGCACUCCCACUAGUCUCCGCUGAAUUGCAAUUUGAUGCAGUAGUUAAAAAAUAAAAAAAUGAAGAACUGGAGGAAUAUGAAUCUUUUAUUCAUAAAAAGCAAACUAAGAUCUUCAAAUGUUAUUAAAUUUUCUACAAUUCCAAUUAACGAAUGAAGGAAAUUAAAUGUUUACAGAAUUAUAAAUUCUUUGUAAAAAUUUAAUAUCCUUAAUAUACUUGAAGAAGACUCUACAUAGCGAUUGUCAACAAUGUUCAACUUAAUAAUAACUUUAAAAUGAAAUUCUUCAUGCAAACAGUUUAACAAGACAAUGGUUUAGACGCUUGAGUACACAUUGCAUUUGUAUAACGAGUUUAUUCUCAAAGACUCUUUAUUUCACCAAGGUUAUAAAAUUACACUGCGCAGCUUUUGACAACUACCGCAUCUCUACCUCUUUGUGAACUUUUAAUGAUCUUUUCAAACAUGACAUAUUCACGCUACUGAAAUCCUAAGAUAGACAACGGCGAGUUCUUGCAAUUAAGAGAAACGCGAGAAUUAUAUGAUGUAUCUUUUUUUGAUUAUCUUUCAUUUUCUUUUCUUUUGGUACAAAUUUUAUAUUUUAGUCCAGCUAUAUUUUAUAUUUAGUACGUUAUAGUUCUACUAUUAAUGGAAAUUUCGGUCAAAGCAAUCAAUCUUUCACACAACAAGAAUGACAACGGUUUCUGAUCAACCUAAUUGCAAUUAAAACAGCAAAGACGUAUCUUUUCUGGGAAAUUUUGCAUCGUUUCGUAUGAAAGAUGAGACAAUCGAGAAACAUAUACCUAUAUUACACGAAUGGUACGAGUUUCGUCUGUUAAAAAUAAAAAUGUGGCACAUAUGCACGAUUCUUGGACACAAAGAGGAAAUUAUUAGGUUUGUCAACGAUCUGCUUGAGUUGUCCGAGUAAAUUGCUCGAAUUACCUCAGCACCCGGCAAUGGAAGGUGACCUACUGUCAGAAACGAUCUCUCCAAAGGAUUGUGCAACUUGGAACUUUAGAAUUUUUAUUCUUCCGCCAUUCGCUUCUCUUUUGAAGGGACCCAAUUACCAAGGCGAUAUAGGCGAUCUUGCAUUAGGAAUUCGCCGUCCUUUAAGAAGAUUGAAAAUCGUUCUUGAUAACAGCUUAAUAGUCAGCUCACAGCUCGUUUUGACCCUGUGAUCGAGAUAAUGAAGCGAUUUAACAUGGAAAUCUGCGAAACGGUCAACCUAAUUUCAACAGAGUAGAAUGUAUUAUUAACCUGAAACGCAUUCGCUUGUGUUUCGUCAUAUUUUUUCUCGUAGGAAUGACAUUAUUUGCAGGAAUAAUAGUUUUCGAGGAAGUAUAAAUCACAUUUUGUACCUUCUGUGGACGAGCAAUUUUAAAACUCACUUUGCUGUCAACCAAUUUUAUUGUAUUAUUAAAUAUGUAUUAUCGUAUUACGUAUUA